UGAGUGUCAGUUGGUGAGGACCAUGGA
RNAcentral lists this non-coding RNA (27 nucleotides) under Homo sapiens (human). Lineage: Eukaryota; Metazoa; Chordata; Mammalia; Primates; Hominidae. The record is from RNAcentral.